This 2932-nucleotide ribosomal RNA is filed under the name Escherichia coli O157:H7. RNAcentral's name for it is "bacterial LSU rRNA". It matches the Rfam family "Bacterial large subunit ribosomal RNA". The record is from RNAcentral. Lineage: Bacteria; Pseudomonadati; Pseudomonadota; Gammaproteobacteria; Enterobacterales; Enterobacteriaceae.
GGGUUGUGAGGUUAAGCGACUAAGCGUACACGGUGGAUGCCCUGGCAGUCAGAGGCGAUGAAGGACGUGCUAAUCUGCGAUAAGCGUCGGUAAGGUGAUAUGAACCGUUAUAACCGGCGAUUUCCGAAUGGGGAAACCCAGUGUGAUUCGUCACACUAUCAUUAACUGAAUCCAUAGGUUAAUGAGGCGAACCGGGGGAACUGAAACAUCUAAGUACCCCGAGGAAAAGAAAUCAACCGAGAUUCCCCCAGUAGCGGCGAGCGAACGGGGAGGAGCCCAGAGCCUGAAUCAGUGUGUGUGUUAGUGGAAGCGUCUGGAAAGGCGCGCGAUACAGGGUGACAGCCCCGUACACAAAAAUGCACAUGCUGUGAGCUCGAUGAGUAGGGCGGGACACGUGGUAUCCUGUCUGAAUACGGGGGGACCAUCCUCCAAGGCUAAAUACUCCUGACUGACCGAUAGUGAACCAGUACCGUGAGGGAAAGGCGAAAAGAACCCCGGCGAGGGGAGUGAAAAAGAACCUGAAACCGUGUACGUACAAGCAGUGGGAGCACAGAGCAAUCUGUGUGACUGCGUACCUUUUGUAUAAUGGGUCAGCGACUUAUAUUCUGUAGCAAGGUUAACCGAAUAGGGGAGCCGAAGGGAAACCGAGUCUUAACCGGGCGUUAAGUUGCAGGGUAUAGACCCGAAACCCGGUGAUCUAGCCAUGGGCAGGUUGAAGGUUGGGUAACACUAACUGGAGGACCGAACCGACUAAUGUUGAAAAAUUAGCGGAUGACUUGUGGCUGGGGGUGAAAGGCCAAUCAAACCGGGAGAUAGCUGGUUCUCCCCGAAAGCUAUUUAGGUAGCGCCUCGUGAAUUCAUCUCCGGGGGUAGAGCACUGUUUCGGCAAGGGGGUCAUCCCGACUUACCAACCCGAUGCAAACUGCGAAUACCGGAGAAUGUUAUCACGGGAGACACACGGCGGGUGCUAACGUCCGUCGUGAAGAGGGAAACAACCCAGACCGCCAGCUAAGGUCCCAAAGUCAUGGUUAAGUGGGAAACGAUGUGGGAAGGCCCAGACAGCCAGGAUGUUGGCUUAGAAGCAGCCAUCAUUUAAAGAAAGCGUAAUAGCUCACUGGUCGAGUCGGCCUGCGCGGAAGAUGUAACGGGGCUAAACCAUGCACCGAAGCUGCGGCAGCGACACUGUGUGUUGUUGGGUAGGGGAGCGUUCUGUAAGCCUGUGAAGGUGUACUGUGAGGUAUGCUGGAGGUAUCAGAAGUGCGAAUGCUGACAUAAGUAACGAUAAAGCGGGUGAAAAGCCCGCUCGCCGGAAGACCAAGGGUUCCUGUCCAACGUUAAUCGGGGCAGGGUGAGUCGACCCCUAAGGCGAGGCCGAAAGGCGUAGUCGAUGGGAAACAGGUUAAUAUUCCUGUACUUGGUGUUACUGCGAAGGGGGGACGGAGAAGGCUAUGUUGGCCGGGCGACGGUUGUCCCGGUUUAAGCGUGUAGGCUGGUUUUCCAGGCAAAUCCGGAAAAUCAAGGCUGAGGCGUGAUGACGAGGCACUACGGUGCUGAAGCAACAAAUGCCCUGCUUCCAGGAAAAGCCUCUAAGCAUCAGGUAACAUCAAAUCGUACCCCAAACCGACACAGGUGGUCAGGUAGAGAAUACCAAGGCGCUUGAGAGAACUCGGGUGAAGGAACUAGGCAAAAUGGUGCCGUAACUUCGGGAGAAGGCACGCUGAUAUGUAGGUGAAGUCCCUCGCGGAUGGAGCUGAAAUCAGUCGAAGAUACCAGCUGGCUGCAACUGUUUAUUAAAAACACAGCACUGUGCAAACACGAAAGUGGACGUAUACGGUGUGACGCCUGCCCGGUGCCGGAAGGUUAAUUGAUGGGGUCAGCGCAAGCGAAGCUCUUGAUCGAAGCCCCGGUAAACGGCGGCCGUAACUAUAACGGUCCUAAGGUAGCGAAAUUCCUUGUCGGGUAAGUUCCGACCUGCACGAAUGGCGUAAUGAUGGCCAGGCUGUCUCCACCCGAGACUCAGUGAAAUUGAACUCGCUGUGAAGAUGCAGUGUACCCGCGGCAAGACGGAAAGACCCCGUGAACCUUUACUAUAGCUUGACACUGAACAUUGAGCCUUGAUGUGUAGGAUAGGUGGGAGGCUUUGAAGUGUGGACGCCAGUCUGCAUGGAGCCGACCUUGAAAUACCACCCUUUAAUGUUUGAUGUUCUAACGUGGACCCGUGAUCCGGGUUGCGGACAGUGUCUGGUGGGUAGUUUGACUGGGGCGGUCUCCUCCUAAAGAGUAACGGAGGAGCACGAAGGUUGGCUAAUCCUGGUCGGACAUCAGGAGGUUAGUGCAAUGGCAUAAGCCAGCUUGACUGCGAGCGUGACGGCGCGAGCAGGUGCGAAAGCAGGUCAUAGUGAUCCGGUGGUUCUGAAUGGAAGGGCCAUCGCUCAACGGAUAAAAGGUACUCCGGGGAUAACAGGCUGAUACCGCCCAAGAGUUCAUAUCGACGGCGGUGUUUGGCACCUCGAUGUCGGCUCAUCACAUCCUGGGGCUGAAGUAGGUCCCAAGGGUAUGGCUGUUCGCCAUUUAAAGUGGUACGCGAGCUGGGUUUAGAACGUCGUGAGACAGUUCGGUCCCUAUCUGCCGUGGGCGCUGGAGAACUGAGGGGGGCUGCUCCUAGUACGAGAGGACCGGAGUGGACGCAUCACUGGUGUUCGGGUUGUCAUGCCAAUGGCACUGCCCGGUAGCUAAAUGCGGAAGAGAUAAGUGCUGAAAGCAUCUAAGCACGAAACUUGCCCCGAGAUGAGUUCUCCCUGACCCUUUAAGGGUCCUGAAGGAACGUUGAAGACGACGACGUUGAUAGGCCGGGUGUGUAAGCGCAGCGAUGCGUUGAGCUAACCGGUACUAAUGAACCGUGAGGCUUAACCUUACAACGCCGAAGGUGUUU